AAAGUGGCACUUUUUCUUCCAAGGGACUAUAGGUUUCACACAGUGUUGGAUGCCUCCAUGCCAUUGAGAUUUAGAAUACCUGAUGUGGAAGAAAGAGUCUUCUUUUUCAGAAAGCUAUUAGAUCUGCCAGAAUCUGUCAAACUUCAGAGUUACAGCUUUAGCGUCUCUGCUUACUAUAAACAUACCAUGGCUUACAGUUCACGAAUAAGAAUCUAAUUUCUCCCAUCACAUCCGAACAGCCACAAGAACACAUUGUGAGUAGCUGUCAGCUUAAGAAGAAAGAAUCAUGCCCUGCCCCCUCUGGACCACAGCACUGGGUC
Molecule: long non-coding RNA, 320 nt
Filed under: Mus pahari (shrew mouse)
Lineage: Eukaryota; Metazoa; Chordata; Mammalia; Rodentia; Muridae
Description: lncRNA (MGP_PahariEiJ_G0005488.1)
Source: RNAcentral